This 541-nucleotide ribosomal RNA is filed under the name Penicillium citrinum. Its description in RNAcentral is "SSU rRNA". It matches the Rfam family "Bacterial small subunit ribosomal RNA", at positions 364 to 940 of the family's 1533-position model. The record is from RNAcentral. Lineage: Eukaryota; Fungi; Ascomycota; Eurotiomycetes; Eurotiales; Aspergillaceae.
UUGGUCAAUGGCCGAAAGGCUGAACCAGUAACUUGGAAGAAUGUAAGUGUAUUUGUAUAAAUACAAUAGCGAUUAUGUCGCAUAAAAUUCUAAAUAGAUUGUAUAUAAUGACAUAAUCUAUUUAUAAGUCUUGACCAAACUACGUGCCAGCAGUCGCGGUAAUACGUAGGAGGCUAGUGUUAGUUAUCUUUAUUGGGUUUAAAGGGUAAGUAGACGGUAAAUUAAACUCUAAAUGAGUACUUUUUUACUAGAGUUAUAUGAGAGAAGGAAGAAUUUCUGGAGUAGAGAUAAAAUUCGAUGAUACCAGGAGGACUGUCAACGGCGAAGGCGUCCUUCUAUGUAAUCACUGACGUUGAGAGACGAAGGCUUGGGUAGCAAACAGGAUUAGAUACCCUAGUAGUCCAAGCAGACAAUGAUGAAUGUCAUACAUUAGAUAAAAAUUUAAUGUAUAAACGAAAGUGUAAGCAUUCCACCUCAAGAGUACUAUGGCAACAUAUAAACUGAAAUCAUUAGACCGUUUCUAAAACCAGUAGUGAAGUAU